This 429-nucleotide ribosomal RNA is filed under the name Actinomycetes bacterium. RNAcentral's name for it is "Actinobacteria bacterium partial 16S ribosomal RNA". It matches the Rfam family "Bacterial small subunit ribosomal RNA", at positions 355 to 776 of the family's 1533-position model. Lineage: Bacteria; Bacillati; Actinomycetota; Actinomycetes. The record is from RNAcentral.
UAGGGAAUCUUCCGCAAUGGGCGAAAGCCUGACGGAGCAACGCCGCGUGAGUGAUGAAGGUCUUCGGAUCGUAAAACUCUGUUAUUAGGGAAGAACAAAUGUGUAAGUAACUAUGCACGUCUUGACGGUACCUAAUCAGAAAGCCACGGCUAACUACGUGCCAGCAGCCGCGGUAAUACGUAGGUGGCAAGCGUUAUCCGGAAUUAUUGGGCGUAAAGCGCGCGUAGGCGGUUUUUUAAGUCUGAUGUGAAAGGCCACGGCUCAACCGUGGAGGGUCAUUGGAAACUGGAAAACUUGAGUGCAGAAGAGGAAAGUGGAAUUCCAUGUGUAGCGGUGAAAUGCGCAGAGAUAUGGAGGAAAACCAGUGGCGAAGGCGACUUUCUGGUCUGUAACUGACGCUGAUGUGCGAAAGCGUGGGGAUCAAACAGG